GUCCCCGUAGCUCAGUGGAUAGAGCAACCGCCUCCUAAGCGGUAGGUCGCAGGUUCAACUCCCGCCGGGGACACUA
Molecule: transfer RNA, 76 nt
Filed under: Candidatus Planktophila versatilis
Lineage: Bacteria; Bacillati; Actinomycetota; Actinomycetes; Candidatus Nanopelagicales; Candidatus Nanopelagicaceae
Description: tRNA-Arg
Rfam family: tRNA
About the family: Transfer RNA (tRNA) molecules are approximately 80 nucleotides in length.
Source: RNAcentral